This 465-nucleotide ribosomal RNA is filed under the name uncultured bacterium. Its description in RNAcentral is "partial 16S ribosomal RNA". It matches the Rfam family "Bacterial small subunit ribosomal RNA", at positions 28 to 507 of the family's 1533-position model. The record is from RNAcentral.
GACGAACGCUGGCGGCGUGCUUAACACAUGCAAGUCGAGCGAGGCCCCUCCUUCGGGAGGGUGUCCUAGCGGCGAACGGGUGAGUAACACGUGGGCAACCUGCCCUCAGCUCUGGGAUAACUCCGGGAAACCGGGGCUAAUACCGGAUACGACCUCCACGGGCAUCUGCGGAGGUGGAAAGUUUUUCGGCUGAGGAUGGGCCCGCGGCCUAUCAGCUAGUUGGUGGGGUAGUGGCCCACCAAGGCGACGACGGGUAGCCGGCCUGAGAGGGCGACCGGCCACACUGGGACUGAGACACGGCCCAGACUCCUACGGGAGGCAGCAGUGGGGAAUAUUGCGCAAUGGGCGAAAGCCUGACGCAGCGACGCCGCGUGAGGGACGAAGGCCUUCGGGUUGUAAACCUCUUUCAGCAGGGACGAAGCGAAAGUGACGGUACCUGCAGAAGAAGCACCGGCCAACUACAUG